RNAcentral lists this antisense RNA (69 nucleotides) under Actinoalloteichus hymeniacidonis. RNAcentral's name for it is "ASpks TB sRNA". It matches the Rfam family "ASpks TB sRNA". The record is from RNAcentral. Lineage: Bacteria; Bacillati; Actinomycetota; Actinomycetes; Pseudonocardiales; Pseudonocardiaceae.
CUUGACCGACCCCAGCAACAACGGCUCAUCCCGGUCCUGGCCGUAGGUCGCCAGCAGCGCCUGGGCCUC